Molecule: long non-coding RNA, 1018 nt
Organism: Numida meleagris (helmeted guineafowl)
Lineage: Eukaryota; Metazoa; Chordata; Aves; Galliformes; Numididae
Exons: 3
Source: RefSeq, a predicted model, not a curated record
GGGCGCCCCCUGGCGGUCGUGCCCUGGGGCAGCGGGGGGGGGGAACCCCACCCCACCCCUGGGCGUGGGUCCCUAUAGGAUCUGCCCCACGUGAGCGGGGCCAUACGGGGCCCGACCCACGCAGGAGGCUCCGUAUGGGACCCACGCGUGUCUGUGGGUCCCUGCAGGAUCCAAUCCACGUGUGUGGGGCCGCAUGGACCCCACCUGUGCGCGUGGCUCCAUAGGGGACGCGACCCACACGUGGGGCUCCACGGGAGCCUUGACCCCUGUGGUGGUCAGUAUGGGUAGAGGACCCAUAUGGACCCGUCAGUGUGGUUCACACGGCUCAUGCAGUCCCGCACUUGUGCACACGGGGAGGUUUGGGAUCCCCCCUAGGAGCGUGUGACCAGGCAGGACCUGACCAGCACACGUAGAUCCGUGCGGGACCCGAUCCCUGUGUGCACUGAUCCAUCCAGGACCUGCCCCACGCCUGAGAGGCCAUGGGACCCAGCCCCCACCCACAGCCCCGUGGGGACCUGACCCCCCCCCAUACGCACACCAUAGAAACGUCACCCCCCCCAUCCACACGCCAUAGGGACAUAUCCCCCCCCAUACACACACCGUAGGGACCUGACCCCCCCCGUGCAGGACGUCCCUGGUGAAUGGGUGCGGACGGGACGGGGCAGCGAUGCCACCUCCCAGCGGGCAGCAGCCGGAGCGGUGCCAUCUCCCAGCAUUGGUUCCCAGCAGCAGGGCAGGGCACGGCCCCCCCCCCGGACCCCCCCAAUUUGCUCCUAACGCUGUCUCUCCUCUCCCGCAUGCUGCAGAGCGGGGCAUGGUGCCGCCGGGCUGAGCGCUGGCACGCAGCGGGGGGGUGAGCGGAGCCAUGGAGGGGCCCGGCCAGGACACCGAGGACGCGUUACGCAGGAGCCUGGACCCCGAGGGCUACGAGGACACCAAGGGCUCCAGGAUAUCCCUGGGGGGGAUGAGCAGGGCCGUUGGCGGCACCGGGUCCCCUCUGCGGAGGGCGAGAGGCGAG